GAUGAACGCUGGCGGCGUGCCUAAUACAUGCAAGUCGAGCGAACGGACGAGAAGCUUGCUUCUCUGAUGUUAGCGGCGGACGGGUGAGUAACACGUGGAUAACCUACCUAUAAGACUGGGAUAACUUCGGGAAACCGGAGCUAAUACCGGAUAAUAUUUUGAACCGCAUGGUUCAAAAGUGAAAGACGGUCUUGCUGUCACUUAUAGAUGGAUCCGCGCUGCAUUAGCUAGUUGGUAAGGUAACGGCUUACCAAGGCAACGAUGCAUAGACGACCUGAGAGGGUGAUCAGCCACACUGGAACUGAGACAAGGUCCAAACUCCUACGGGAGGCAGCAGUAGGGAAUCUUCCGCAAUGGGCGAAAGCCUGACAGAGCAACGCCGCGUGAGUGAUGAAGGUCUUCGGAUCGUAAAACUCUGUUAUUAGGGAAGAACAUAUGUGUAAGUAACUGUGCACAUCCUGACGGUACCUAAUCAGAAAGCCACGGCUAACUACGUG
RNAcentral lists this ribosomal RNA (497 nucleotides) under uncultured bacterium. RNAcentral describes it as "partial 16S ribosomal RNA". It matches the Rfam family "Bacterial small subunit ribosomal RNA", at positions 28 to 507 of the family's 1533-position model. The record is from RNAcentral.